CGUCCCCUCGUGUGAUUAGAAGGGAGUGAUUUCCACGUUUAUUUAAACAAUUUUUAAAGAGUUUAUUAGUUUAUUUAUUGUUUGUGCAGUGUUUGUUAGCUUCAAGUAUCAUCUGUAACUCUAAUUUAAAGCUAUUCAAUGGGACGUCUGUGAAUCGUGGUCCAUGGAUUUCGUGAGGAAACUUGGAAUCGACGACGAGACCGUGGAGGAUCCUGCAAAUGACGCUGUUUCAUUUCAUGUCCGGCUUUGCGGAAGAGUGCUUUGACCAAUGAGGGUUCCUUUGACGAGACAGUAAUCAACCAUGGAUCAAUGACGGAUCAACCAUGGGUCAAACUGAGAGACGUUGCGAGCGCAGUGGUGCAAGUCAACGAUCGAUGGUUUGCUGUUUAACGUGGACGGAGGUUCUGUUUGCUGAACAGUUUGCAGACUAUGUAUGCGUUCGCAGCUGCACUCUGAUUGGCUACUGUUC
Long non-coding RNA from Osmia bicornis bicornis, 469 nucleotides. RefSeq lists it as uncharacterized. The transcript has 4 exons. NCBI's taxonomy places the organism in Eukaryota, Metazoa, Arthropoda, Insecta, Hymenoptera, Megachilidae. The record is from RefSeq and is a predicted model, not a curated record.